Molecule: long non-coding RNA, 3167 nt
Organism: Gadus macrocephalus (Pacific cod)
Lineage: Eukaryota; Metazoa; Chordata; Actinopteri; Gadiformes; Gadidae
Exons: 3
Source: RefSeq, a predicted model, not a curated record
ACAGGGCUUCCGCGGGGUCGCUAAAGGUAUUAAAAGGUGGUAAAUGAAAUUAGCCCAAAUUAAGGCCAAUAAAAAGUAUUUAAAAGUAAUAAACGUCAUCUGACGAGGUAUUACAUUUCCAACUAGGCCUAUGAGUUUUUAAAUUUCUGUAAUUUACGUGCAGGCCUAUCUCCUAAAAUUACUAAAAUUGCGUGGAUUUAUUUUUAUGUUGCGAGUAGGCCCUGAGCGAUAUCAAUGAUGUUGCGUGGUGCGUGCGCUGAAACAAACUGGACAUACCUGGCUGGCUUGCUGCCAAAGCUCUUCGCGAGUUCACUUCUGUUAGUUCAAAGUCAUUUGAAAGACAAUAAUGUGGGAAAUGCAAAUUUUCGGACCUCUGGCUCAAGGAUUCGAUAUUCAAAGACUUGUACAGUAUAAACGUUUGAAGUACCACGGUGUGAAUUUGCGCUACGGUAUGGAUUUUGACGUUACCGUGAGACCGGUGUGACCGGUAGACACCAGCAUGGACACUUCUGAUCCGAUUAGAAGUAGAAGAACGGCUCAAUCGGAAUAAAAAAUUAUCAUAUAUACGCCUCAAUCGGAAUAGAAUUCUCUGAUCGGAAUAGAAUUCUAUGAGGAAUAGAAGAGGGGUUAGCUAUAAUCGACGUCCGAUUGGUUUGGGGUGGGUGCGGCUACUUAACUUGGAGAGAUGGCAUCAGCAGCUGCAGCAGUUCGCAAUUGGUCCGUCUGUACUUUUAUGCACACCGAACUUGACCGCUGUCAAGAAAUCUUAAUUUUUGGCCUGAUUCACGCUUUCCUUCACCCACUCCAUAAGUAGUCCGGUAACUUAUCAACCCCAGCGUGUCUGGUUGCUAAGCGACGUCAACUUCUUUGGCAGACUAUUUCUCUGCUGAUCAACACUACGAAUGAUAAUUGUAAAAAGACACACCGUGUGAAGAUAUUGUUUCGUUUUGGCAAGGAGCCAUGUAAUAAUUAUAGAACGUCGCCGGUCAUUAUCGAAAAUAAAACACUCCGGGCGAAGCAAGACGCCUCCACUUCGCGUCGGUGUCCUGUUCGCCCUGUCGGGGCUUAUUUUCUCGAUAAUGACCGGCGUUCUGUACUACAACAUUAUCCCUUACAUAUAUCAUAUAAGUCAAGACCAACAUAACGAUUGUGCGCGAGAGACAUACGAACGAACGCUUACCACUUUUGUAAAUGCCAUAUAUCCAGUACAUUCGGAUUGCAUGACAGGAAUAGUGAAAGCUUGUGACAGAUGUCACUGCCUGUAACAUUGGGCCAUUGGCAUGUCUGCUCAUUUGGCCUUUAGUGGAGAAAAGUGCCUUAAUAAAGUAAAUAUUGUGGGUAAGCCACUACCAAAGAGGCCAGGACAGGCAGAAUAUCUUGUCAACUAUGUGCCCUACACCAAUCUCUGCAUCACACUUCCGUAUACAAGCUCAACUUUGAUGCCAGCAGUUUGAAGUCAUGCUGGUAUAUUGUAAUAUUGUGAAGGUAUUAAAUAAAGUAGUAAAUACCACUUAAGAAUUUCUGUAUAAACCCUGGAGGACAAGGACCAGCUGGAGAAGGGGUGAGGUGGUUCGGAGAAGGAGAAGGAGUGAGGUUCAGAGAAGGAGUGAGGUUCAGAGAAGAAGUGAGGUUCAGAGGAGGAGAAGGAGUGAGGUUCAGAGAAGGAGUGAGGUUCAGAGGAGGAGAAGGAGUGAGGUUCAGAGGAGGAGAAUGAGUGAGGUUCAGAGGAGGAGAAUGAGUGAGGUUCAGAGGAGGAGGAGGAGUGAGGUUCAGAAGAGGAGGAGGAGGAGUGAGGUUCAGAAGAGGAGGAGGAGUGAGGUUCAGAGGAGGAGGAGUGAGGUUCAGAGGAGGAGGAGUGAGGUUCAGAGAAGGAGGUGUGAGGUCUAAGUGGCAAACCCUUUGCUCACCCUUAUUCCAUCUUCAGGUUAGAGGCAAAGGUUGUCUGUGAACAUUUCCUUGAAAGCCCGCACAGAGGGUUUAACGUGACGUUGUCUUAUUUAUUAAACAAUAAUCCCGUUGACUUUCCAGGAAAAUAAAACGAAAUAAACAUAAACAAUGUCGCUAUUCAAUGCGAAGAAUAAGGUGAAGAAUAAUGUAAAUAAUACGAAUAAUGUGGUCAAAAAAUAGUUUGAUCUCUUGCCUUCCAACCUCAAAAAAUAUGUUCCCUGCCGUAUCUGAGGGCCUCCUAUAGGCUGCAGCUAGAGGAGCGCGACACACCUAUUUCACCGCACACCGCCACAACAUGCACACUGUGUCUCCUCUGCAGUCAGAGGCACCAGAGAAGGACUGGGAGGAUCAAAGGAUCUAGCAGAGCCAGCCGCUGCAAGCAUUCAUAUUUAACUGCUGCUCAGAAAGAGAGUUAAUAAUGAAUGUUUAAUAACGGGCUGAGCAACGUGUCAAAUCAAACACCCGAUAAACGCAUCAACUCAAGGGGCCGUUGCUCGAGAGAAGAAUAACUGAAUAUUAAUUUAGUCGGUAGGAUUGACGCAAUUCUGCUUCUUCUCAAUCUCAAAGAAACAUAGCAUUCCUAUUUGAAGUACUAAAGCAGGUCAUUACAGCUCUGAGUUUGAUUCACUCAGGCGAGCUCAGUGUCACUCAUUAACACUCUAUUCAGUCUGCGUUAAACAUCACAUUAUAUAGAAAAGGGAAGAGCUCUGUCUUGAUUUGGGAAAGCAGCAGGGGAAAGACUUCAUUACCCAUGAGCCUCCACCGUCCCACAAUCACUCAGAAUGGUAAACUUAAAUGUCGGGGAAACCCGACGUUGAAGAUGUGAUUCAUGUAUUUACUUUUAUGCAAUCGACUCUGGCCUAGUCAGUCAAAGCAGCAGGUUAAAGAAUACAUUACCCAUGUGCCUCCACUGUCCCACAUGACUCAUAAGUCAUGCUGUAAUCCAUUGGGAUGGUACACCUGUACGUGCAAGUUGUAAGUUGCAAAUCUCCCAGGUUUCUUGCGGCAAUUCACUGAGGCACGCCCCCUUUUGGUCCUAGUAUCCCUUCGCUUUGAAAGUAGAGGGAGUUCAGUGAUGCCGAACGUUAGCCUGGUCCUACCAGACUCUCGUACUUCAUUUGUACAGAGAGUCUGGACCUACUCGAUUGAUAAACGUUAACUCACUUGAAGGCGGGUGUCUGUUGAAGUUUAAAACUAUUAGAUCUGCCCAGUGCAGGGCU